AGCCUAAGCCUAACUAAGCUCAAGACUAUGCCUAGGAUAAGUCUAACCUUAAGCUUAAAUCUAAGCCUAAUCUUAAGCCUAAGCCUAAGCCUA
This is a non-coding RNA of Caenorhabditis elegans, 93 nucleotides long. The record is from Ensembl. Lineage: Eukaryota; Metazoa; Nematoda; Chromadorea; Rhabditida; Rhabditidae.